This is a long non-coding RNA of Oreochromis aureus, 153 nucleotides long. RefSeq lists it as uncharacterized. Lineage: Eukaryota; Metazoa; Chordata; Actinopteri; Cichliformes; Cichlidae. The transcript is spliced from 3 exons. The record is from RefSeq and is a predicted model, not a curated record.
GUGCCAUUUACUCUGAUGUGAAGAUGGGAGCUGCAGAGGACAACCUGAUGUAUGCUGAGAUUAACCACCACAAAAAAGAAAAAGCCAAGAAAAACAAAGGAAAAUCAAGUCCUGAAUCAACCAAUGAAGCAGUUUACUCCAGUCAAAUUAGAA